AGGAAGCUAUGUUAUCUUCCGUUUCCUUGGUGAAAAGGGGGGAUUCAUGAAAUCAUUUGAUGUAAACUUAGAAAAAAAAUAAAAUUUGAAAACAGGGGAUAGCGUGAACCAAAAGGAUGGGAACUCCCUAAUAUAUUUUGGUUUUAAGGACAAAGAGGUGCAGAAUGAUCAGAAGAGGUGAAGAGAGGAUUUUCCCCGAGGCUGUAGAGAGUACUUUUGGUUAAAGGUUGGUCCAGGCAAAGAUCAUCCAUUGAGUUGUUGAAUCUAAUUAGGGAGUAGCGCGAUCAGGGGUCAAAUAUGGAUCAAAAUAAAAGGGUGAGGUUCCAAAGAGGUUUAAGUCUCUGCUUUAAAUCAUCUACUAGUAGUUGACCCUAAAAGAUCUUUGGUCAAAGUUCUACUGAUUACUUAGUAUAUACUUCCUAAGAGAAUAAUUAUAUUUUCACUCUCUUCCAUAUCUUAGUGUUAUUACAAUAGCACCAUAUAUUGUGGAUACACUAAGCUGCACCAUAAUCCAUCCGCUACAAGUUUCGAGUCGGUAGCCUUCUUCAAGCAGGAUCGAUAGUUCUUCGUGUUAGGAAGAACUUUGGGGAAGUGUAAAUACUUCACGAUUGGGUGGUAAAGAACUCUAACGAUGUUAUCACCCAUGAUGUAAGCAUGGGACAUAAAUUUUGGGAGUCCCUGUUAGGAUGAUAUUAAGUUUUGUAUGGUAUAUUCAUUGUAAUUCGAUCUUAAGGUUUUUAAUAAACAAGGUAAUUCUUUAUGAUUUGUAA
Molecule: long non-coding RNA, 770 nt
Organism: Cryptomeria japonica (Japanese cedar)
Lineage: Eukaryota; Viridiplantae; Streptophyta; Pinopsida; Cupressales; Cupressaceae
Exons: 2
Source: RefSeq, a predicted model, not a curated record